RNAcentral lists this transfer RNA (88 nucleotides) under Chloroflexota bacterium. Its description in RNAcentral is "tRNA-Ser". It matches the Rfam family "tRNA". From Rfam's summary of the family: Transfer RNA (tRNA) molecules are approximately 80 nucleotides in length. Lineage: Bacteria; Bacillati; Chloroflexota. The record is from RNAcentral.
GGAGAGGCAAGCCGAUGGGUUAGACGGCAGUGGUCCUGAAAACCGCCGAGGCGCAAGCCCUUGGGGGUUCGAAUCCCUCCCUCUCCGC